UCUACGGGAGGCAGCAGUGGGGAAUAUUGCACAAUGGAGGAAACUCUGAUGCAGCGACGCCGCGUGAGUGAAGAAGGUCUUCGGAUCGUAAAACUCUGUCCUUGGUGAAGAAAAGGACGGUAGCCAAGGAGGAAGCCCCGGCUAACUACGUGCCAGCAGCCGCGGUAAUA
RNAcentral lists this ribosomal RNA (170 nucleotides) under uncultured bacterium. Its description in RNAcentral is "partial 16S ribosomal RNA". It matches the Rfam family "Bacterial small subunit ribosomal RNA", at positions 338 to 525 of the family's 1533-position model. The record is from RNAcentral.